CCCGGUGAUCUAGCCAUGGGCAGGUUGAAGGUUGGGUAACACUAACUGGAGGACCGAACCGACUAAUGUUGAAAAAUUAGCGGAUGACUUGUGGCUGGGGGGGAAAGGCCAAUCAAACCGGGAGAUAGCUGGUUCUCCCCGAAAGCUAUUUAGGUAGCGCCUCGUGAAUUCAUCUCCGGGGGUAGAGCACUGUUUCGGCAAGGGGGUCAUCCCGACUUACCAACCCGAUGCAAACUGCGAAUACCGGAGAAUGUUAUCACGGGAGACACACGGCGGGUGCUAACGUCCGUCGUGAAGAGGGAAACAACCCAGACCGCCAGCUAAGGUCCCAAAGUCAUGGUUAAGUGGGAAACGAUGUGGGAAGGCCCAGACAGCCAGGAUGUUGGCUUAGAAGCAGCCAUCAUUUAAAGAAAGCGUAAUAGCUCACUGGUCGAGUCGGCCUGCGCGGAAGAUGUAACGGGGCUAAACCAUGCACCGAAGCUGCGGCA
This 488-nucleotide ribosomal RNA is filed under the name Escherichia coli. Its description in RNAcentral is "bacterial LSU rRNA". It matches the Rfam family "Bacterial large subunit ribosomal RNA", at positions 721 to 1207 of the family's 2925-position model. The record is from RNAcentral. Lineage: Bacteria; Pseudomonadati; Pseudomonadota; Gammaproteobacteria; Enterobacterales; Enterobacteriaceae.